CACUAGCGGGUUUGUUUUGAAGCAGUGUGAGAGUCCCAAAUAGGAAACAGGAAACAUCACUGCCUCUAUUGCUGCCACAAGAAAGUUUUAAAACACCACAAACAAACACAAGCUCCAAACUGCCUAGGAGUUUGGGGAACAGCUGACUGUUUCCCCAGUCCCUCCCAGUCCCGCUGAAUGUUUCUGCU
Etheostoma spectabile (orangethroat darter) is the source of this 188-nucleotide long non-coding RNA. RefSeq lists it as uncharacterized. NCBI's taxonomy places the organism in Eukaryota, Metazoa, Chordata, Actinopteri, Perciformes, Percidae. The record is from RefSeq and is a predicted model, not a curated record. The transcript has 3 exons.